RNAcentral lists this long non-coding RNA (743 nucleotides) under Salmo salar (Atlantic salmon). RNAcentral describes it as "lncRNA (ENSSSAG00000103275.1)". The record is from RNAcentral. Lineage: Eukaryota; Metazoa; Chordata; Actinopteri; Salmoniformes; Salmonidae.
CCUUGUAGAAGAACCCACAGCACAUUUUCUGGUCCUCUCCGUACAGCUCUCCACUCGUCUCCAGACCCUGUCCUCCCAGAGGCUUCAGUGCGGACAUUGGUACUUCUACCAGGUCUCUACUGGGCUGGGACAGCACCUCUGCCAACUUCUUCGUCCUUCCAUCUCUCCUCUCCUCCUUCCUGUCCUGCUCUCUCCCUUUAGUGGGCGAGGAGGGAUGAGCGCAUGCACUCCGUAUCCCCGCCUCCACUACCUCUGGCUGUGUCUCAGGCUGCUCAUUUUGGUUCUGGGGCUCCUCUGCUCCCCCUGGGGCCCCUCUCUCCUUGCCCUCUUCUGUGGCCCCAGGACCCUCAUCAUGUCCCAGUGGUACCUGUGUGGUGAGGGCGCUGGAGGAGGUAUGACCCAGGACUGUUGCAGUUCCCUCAUGGCCAUGAUCCUGUCCUGCUGCUGAGCCAGCCGCUGCAUCUCCGUCUGCAGGAACCCCAGGGACGUGUUCAGCCUCUCGAUGGAGCUGGUGUACUCAGCCAGGUCCACCUCUCCAGCCACUAACCCUGGAGCAAGACACAGCGGACACGUCUACUUUAUAAGGUCUGUCCCCAAAGUCCUUUUUGGCUGGGCUACACAUAGGACCCAUAGUCCUGGAUGAAUGGGCAGGAUCACCGGCUGGGUACAAACAAACACCAAUCAUUCUUCAGGAUUCUCAAGUCAAUAAAGGUAGCCUAGUGGUUAGAGCUUCAAUCCCCGAG